Molecule: long non-coding RNA, 1145 nt
Organism: Carassius gibelio (silver crucian carp)
Lineage: Eukaryota; Metazoa; Chordata; Actinopteri; Cypriniformes; Cyprinidae
Exons: 3
Source: RefSeq, a predicted model, not a curated record
UGUAACCUGUUGUUGGCGGGGUUUGUGUUUCUGUUCAUGCCAAGUCAAGUCUUUCUUCAUUUGUUUGGAUUACUUUUGCACUUGGGUUCAUCUUAAACUCACCUUCAGUGGACUAAUUAUUACAGAAUACUCUGUACCAUGAACUCAGCAGCUUCAAGUAUCCUCCGCGUAUGUCAAGAUGAGGAGCCCCCUAACUCUGCAAAAAACUCUGCACCAGAGCAUUUUUUUUACUUUGGGGGGGAGACUAUAGUACCCAAGCUCCUUCAUUAUGUGGAGCUUGGGCCAGAACUGAUUGCCAGUUUAAUGGAUCCACCAUUGAUGUCGGUGUGAGCAGCUGGCAUCCCCAGGGCCUCAGCACAUGGAGACCGUUCCUCUAUCCUCAGUACUUUUGGUUAUGGAGGUAGCCAUCCUGAGUGUUUGGGCUGCUCACUGAACUUUAGAGGCCUCUCCCGUCCACGGGUCUGCUUUAGAGAUGGUGGCAUCAGCUGCAGAACCUCUAGAAGUGGUGGUGUUCGCUUCUAAACUCUCUGCCUCUCCUGCCACAGCCACUGAGGCCGUUCAUGAACUCUGUCCGCCCUGUCACAACCAUGGAGGACGUCCAUGAACUCUCUGCCUGUAACGUUACUGCCACAGAGGCCACUGUUAACCUCUCUGCUGUGGUGGUAAUUUGUUCCACUGUGGGGAUCUUUGCUCCUGGAUGCUUUGCUAACCUGGUGGUCCUCUGCUCCACCAUGGCUUCCUGCUCCGCCAUGGCCCCAUGCUCCUCUGGAUCUGACAUGGUGGUCUCCUGCUCCACUCUUCCACAGUCUACCUUUGCUCCAUGGCCAAGGUCCUCUAUUGUUCCACUGUCUGCCUCUGCUACAUGGCCUGGACCUCCAGUGCUUCACUGUCUGCAAUUUCUCCAUGGUCCAGGCCCACCUCUGCUCCACAGCCUAGGCCUGCCUCUGCUUCAUGGCCCUGGUUCACCAUGGCUUCACUGCCCAGGUCUGCCCUCGCCCAUGGCCCAUGGUUCAUGGUUCAUGUCUUCAUUUCAUGUUUUCAUGUCUUUAUUUUGAUAUUUUGGUUCCUGUGUCAUGUUCUCAUUGGUUGGUUAUUGUCAUGUGACCUGUAUUGUCUGGUAUACAGUAAAUAGCCUUCAUGUUGCC